This 162-nucleotide ribosomal RNA is filed under the name Cyphellophora sessilis. Its description in RNAcentral is "partial large subunit ribosomal RNA". It matches the Rfam family "Eukaryotic large subunit ribosomal RNA", at positions 99 to 258 of the family's 3401-position model. Lineage: Eukaryota; Fungi; Ascomycota; Eurotiomycetes; Chaetothyriales; Cyphellophoraceae. The record is from RNAcentral.
CGGCAAAAGCUCAAAUUUGAAAUCUGGCCUCUUCGGGGUCCGAGUUGUAAUUUGGAGAGGAUGUUUCGGGCACGGUCCGGGCUUAAAUUUCUUGGAACAGAAUGUCACAGAGGGUGAGAAUCCCGUCUGGAGUCUGCGACACGGCCUAUGUGAAACUCCUUC